GCUUAGCCGUAAAAUUUGACAGUAAGAUACAACUGCUGUCCGCCAGGGAACUACAAGCGCCAGCUUAAAACCCAAAGGACUUGGCGGUGCCUCAGACCCACCUAGAGGAGCCUGUUCUAGAACCGAUAACCCCCGUUCAACCUCACCUCCCCUUGUCAUUCCCGCCUAUAUACCGCCGUCGUCAGCAUACCCUGUGAAGGGUUUAUAGUAUGCACAAUGGGUAAAACCCAAAACGUCAGGUCGAGGUGUAGCGUAUGUGGAGGGAAGAAAUGGGCUACAUUCUCUAAUAUAGAGUAUUACGGAGGGGGUUUUGAAACCAACCCCUGAAGGUGGAUUUAGCAGUAGACAGAAACAAGAGUGUCCUGUCGAAAUUGGCUCUGAAGCGCGC
Molecule: ribosomal RNA, 388 nt
Filed under: Paragalaxias mesotes
Lineage: Eukaryota; Metazoa; Chordata; Actinopteri; Galaxiiformes; Galaxiidae
Description: partial 12S ribosomal RNA
Rfam family: Bacterial small subunit ribosomal RNA
Source: RNAcentral